GGACAUUCACUUAUGUACUGUGCAUAAAAACACCCUUAUGCAUAUUAACUUUUGCCCCUCUCACGAUACCUACUUCAUUCUUAUCCCUUUCAAUUCAAUUUUCCUUUUCAGUGAAACUAAUCACCCUGUCUGUCGCUGUGUCACUCAGUCGCUGCCGUUGUGUCUUUCGCUCCUAGUCGGCAGUCGCUGACUCGCUGUUUUCUCUUCUCGCCACUGGCUCACAGUGGCAGUGUCUCCUUGCUUCCAUUUCCCCCUUUUCAGUUUGAAGAUUGGAGAUUGUUGAUUGAAACAUUUCGCUGUAAUUAAUUAUAGACUGUAAUUUUAUAUUUUGCAAUUUGAAGGAUAGUAAGCUUAUGCAAUUUCAUGUUCUGAAUACAGAGAAAAAAAUUCAUCUUCUCUAAAGAAAAGUAGAGUCAAGAAUAAAAGGAUUAAUGGUGGAAAAGAAAAUACCAACAAACAACAAAGAUCUAUU
RNAcentral lists this long non-coding RNA (472 nucleotides) under Trifolium pratense (red clover). RNAcentral's name for it is "long non-coding RNA (TPRA_LNC006518)". Lineage: Eukaryota; Viridiplantae; Streptophyta; Magnoliopsida; Fabales; Fabaceae. The record is from RNAcentral.